This 253-nucleotide ribosomal RNA is filed under the name uncultured bacterium. Its description in RNAcentral is "partial 16S ribosomal RNA". It matches the Rfam family "Bacterial small subunit ribosomal RNA", at positions 524 to 776 of the family's 1533-position model. The record is from RNAcentral.
UACGUAGGGUGCAGGCGUUGUCCGGAAUUAUUGGGCGUAAAGAGCUCGUAGGCGGUUUGUUGCGUCGGCUGUGAAAUCCCGAGGCUCAACCUCGGGUCUGCAGUCGAUACGAGCAAACUAGAGUGUUGCAGGGGAGACUGGAAUUCCUGGUGUAGCGGUGAAAUGCGCAGAUAUCAGGAGGAACACCGGUGGCGAAGGCGGGUCUCUGGGCAACAACUGACGCUGAGGAGCGAAAGCGUGGGGAGCGAACAGG